GAUGAACGCUGGCGGCGUGCCUAAUACAUGCAAGUCGAGCGAACGGACGAUAAGCUUGCUUCUCUGAUGUUAGCGGCGGACGGGUGAGUAACACGUGGAUAACCUACUUAUAAGACUGGGAUAACUUCGGGAAACCGGAGCUAAUACCGGAUGAUAUUUUGAACCGCAUGGUUCAAAAGUGAUUGACGGUCUUGCUGUCACUUAUAGAUGGAUCCGCGCUGCAUUAGCUAGUUGGUAAGGUAACGGCUUACCAAGGCAACGAUGCAUAGCCGACCUGAGAGGAUGAUCAGCCACACUGGAACUGAGACACGGUCCAGACUCCUACGGGAGGCAGCAGUAGGGAAUCUUCCGCAAUGGGCGAAAGCCUGACGGAGCAACGCCGCGUGAGUGAUGAAGGUCUUCGGAUCGUAAAACUCUGUUAUUAGGGAAGAACAUAUGUGUAAGUAACUGUGCACAUCUUGACGGUACCUAAUCAGAAAGCCACGGCUAACUACGUG
RNAcentral lists this ribosomal RNA (497 nucleotides) under uncultured bacterium. Its description in RNAcentral is "partial 16S ribosomal RNA". It matches the Rfam family "Bacterial small subunit ribosomal RNA", at positions 28 to 507 of the family's 1533-position model. The record is from RNAcentral.